RNAcentral lists this ribosomal RNA (220 nucleotides) under uncultured bacterium. RNAcentral describes it as "partial 16S ribosomal RNA". It matches the Rfam family "Bacterial small subunit ribosomal RNA", at positions 1281 to 1500 of the family's 1533-position model. The record is from RNAcentral.
AAACGUCCCAGUUCGGACUGUAGUCUGCAACCCGACUACACGAAGCUGGAAUCGCUAGUAAUCGCGAAUCAGAAUGUCGCGGUGAAUACGUUCCCGGGUCUUGUACACACCGCCCGUCACACCAUGGGAGUCGGGAAUGCCCGAAGUCAGUGACCCAACCUAUAGGAGGGAGCUGCCGAAGGCAGGUCUGAUAACUGGGGUGAAGUCGUAACAAGGUACC